RNAcentral lists this ribosomal RNA (279 nucleotides) under uncultured bacterium. RNAcentral describes it as "partial 16S ribosomal RNA". It matches the Rfam family "Bacterial small subunit ribosomal RNA", at positions 506 to 784 of the family's 1533-position model. The record is from RNAcentral.
UGCCAGCAGCCGCGGUAACACGGGGGGCGCAAGCGUUAUUCGGAAUUAUUGGGCGUAAAGGGCGCGCAGGCGGUCUUGUCCGUCAGGUGUGAAAGCUCGGGGCUCAACCCCGGAAGUGCACUUGAAACAGCAAGACUUGAAUACGGUAGAGGAGAGAGGAAUUCCUGGUGUAGAGGUGAAAUUCGUAGAUAUCAGGAGGAACACCAAUGGCGAAGGCAGAUCUCUGGGCCGUAACUGACGCUGAGGAGCGAAAGUGUGGGGAGCAAACAGGAUUAGAUA